UGGGGAAUAAUGCACAAUGGGCGCAAGCCUGAUGCAGCCAUGCCGCGUGUAUGAAGAAGGCCUUCGGGUUGUAAAGUACUUUCAGUCGGGAGGAAGGUGGUAAGGUUAAUAACCUUAUCAAUUGACGUUACCGACAGAAGAAGCACCGGCUAACUCCGUGCCAGCAGCCGCGGUAAUACGGAGGGUGCAAGCGUUAAUCGGAAUUACUGGGCGUAAAGCGCACGCAGGCGGUUGAUUGAGUCAGAUGUGAAAUCCCCGGGCUUAACCCGGGAAUUGCAUCUGAUACUGGUCAGCUAGAGUCUUGUAGAGGGGGGUAGAAUUCCAUGUGUAGCGGUGAAAUGCGUAGAGAUGUGGAGGAAUACCGGUGGCGAAGGCGGCCCCCUGGACAAAGACUGACGCUCAGGUGCGAAAGCGUGGGGAGCAAACAGG
This 429-nucleotide ribosomal RNA is filed under the name Chloroflexota bacterium. Its description in RNAcentral is "Chloroflexi bacterium partial 16S ribosomal RNA". It matches the Rfam family "Bacterial small subunit ribosomal RNA", at positions 355 to 776 of the family's 1533-position model. Lineage: Bacteria; Bacillati; Chloroflexota. The record is from RNAcentral.